RNAcentral lists this long non-coding RNA (834 nucleotides) under Castor canadensis (American beaver). Its description in RNAcentral is "lncRNA (ENSCCNG00000004874.1)". The record is from RNAcentral. Lineage: Eukaryota; Metazoa; Chordata; Mammalia; Rodentia; Castoridae.
CUAAUGUUACCUAUUUAAAAAGUUAUGUUUAAAAUUUAAAAAAUUUUAUUUAAAAACCUGUGUGGGUCUCCUUUUGUUAGGUAAAAUAUCACUUUGGUGAUGUGGUAGCCGUACAGCUGUCAGUCCGUUCCUGCUUUCAAACUGUUCCAGGCCAAGAGCAGAGGGCAGGGUGAGUGUUUCAAAGUGGAGUGCAGAGGGAAAGGUAUUCACCAGGAAGCCGAAUUAGGAGGUGAAUGUUAGAUAACAUCCAGCUUUUCUGAUCCUCAGGAACUCUUCAAACUUCCAAUAUUCAUGCUGAGGGAACAAUGUUCACGGGCAUGGAGUCACAAAGAGACAUGGACCUGAAGGAAACUGUCACUUGCUUCAGUGGACUAGAGCAUGCGAUGGUCGGGAAAUCAUAGAGAGGCACUCACUCAUGGUUUACUAGGUUGAACUGUAUUUGUAAUGAAAUCAAGAGAAUGCAUAUCACUCAAACUCAAGGAGAAACUAAAUAAGAAUUUCAAAAUAUUAAAACUCAUCGGUCAUGGUCGUGGUCAUGAGUGCUUUGUAACCAGCUUUCUCCUGACCCUGAGAACACUGGCUAAUGACUCUGGAGGAGGGAAAAGACACCUUUACUGUCCUAAUAUUUAACUGCAGAAUUACCUAGUCCUGGCAGGAGUCACUAAAAACUAAUUUUUCUUUAGAUUUAUAAGACCAAGAACAUCAGAUGACCUGCAGAUGACAGCAGCACCAGAAAAGCUGACUGGCCAAAAUUUACAACUACCCUGAUGCUCUCUGCCUGUGGAAUCUGCCUCCCUCAAAUCCCUGUAUGAGCCUGGAGACCACAACCCCAAG